Molecule: ribosomal RNA, 335 nt
Filed under: uncultured Pseudomonas sp.
Lineage: Bacteria; Pseudomonadati; Pseudomonadota; Gammaproteobacteria; Pseudomonadales; Pseudomonadaceae
Description: bacterial SSU rRNA
Rfam family: Bacterial small subunit ribosomal RNA
Source: RNAcentral
UGUCGUCAGCUCGUGUCGUGAGAUGUUGGGUUAAGGUCCGUAACCGAGCGCAACCCUUCGUCCUUAGUUACCAGCACGUUAUGGUGGGCACUCUAAGGAGACUGCCGGUGACAAACCGGAGGAAGGUGGGGAUGUCGUCAAGUCAUCAUGGCCCUUACGGCCUGGGCUACACACGUGCUACAAUGGUCGGUACAAAGGGUUGCCAAGCCGCGAGGUGGAGCUAAUCCCAUAAAACCGAUCGUAGUCCGGAUCGCAGUCUGCAACUCGACUGCGUGAAGUCGGAAUCGCUAGUAAUCGUGAAUCAGAAUGUCACGGUGAAUACGUUCCCGGGCCUU